UCAGAGAACUACUUGUAUUCCCAUUCAAACACAAGUCCAGAACAUAUAUAACAAUUACUGAUCUAACUCGAAUUUCACAGUUAGAAAUCCGAACAUGCUUGUGAAGAAGAAGACAUCGCGGAUGGUGGACUAAUAGCGGACCGUAGCCGUCGAGAUGCAGCCCAACACCACAACCACGGAGGUCAUCGACCUCAACUGAAGCGGAUCAAUGGAGGUCACAACCUUCAUGGCCGCGGAUCUCUCUGUCACUCCAAAAAAUCGAGCGAAUCGGACCUAGCCAAGCCUCGAUGCCACGGCCACGAAAGUGGGCUGACCUCACACAGCCACAGAUCUGGGGUUGCGUGAGGUAAAGGACCUCCAUGGACACGGUAGCGACCCAAGAUCGAGGGUUGCCUGGAGGUCCAAGCUUAGUGGUGUUGAAUUAGACGUCCUGAGCUCGAAUCCGACCUCAGUGGCGUUGAAUUUGACCCAAGCAUCCUUGCCUCGGUCGCCCUCCAUUAACUGAUGACAACUCGAUCUUCUUCCUCGACUUGACUGUUGGUUCCUCAGCUCAAGUCUUCUUCAGAGGAAGAUCAACAGAUCGGGCUCGUUGGGUUGGCCGAACCUCCAUCGUGGUCGAAUGGUGUUGAAUUUGACACAAGCUUGAAUCAAGUGAGAAUGACCUUUGCCCAACCCUCCCUAGGCAUCUUCGGUGUCCGGCCAUCAUCUGAGACCGGCUUGGGAAAAGGAAAAUAAAAAACAAAAAAAGAAACCAAAAAAAAAAAGGAAAAGAAACAAAAAGACGAAAAUGACCUUACUAGCUGAAAAUGUCAACUUCAACCUCUUAUUUGCCUGGCUAAAUAAUCGAGAUGGCAAGGAGCU
Molecule: long non-coding RNA, 861 nt
Filed under: Eucalyptus grandis
Lineage: Eukaryota; Viridiplantae; Streptophyta; Magnoliopsida; Myrtales; Myrtaceae
Description: long non-coding RNA (EGRA_LNC003019)
Source: RNAcentral